GCCCAGGUGGCGGAAUUGGUAGACGCGCUAGCUUCAGGUGUUAGUGAUCGAUAGGUCGUGGAGGUUCAAGUCCUCUCCUGGGCACCA
RNAcentral lists this transfer RNA (87 nucleotides) under Gammaproteobacteria bacterium. RNAcentral describes it as "tRNA-Leu". It matches the Rfam family "tRNA". Rfam says of the family: Transfer RNA (tRNA) molecules are approximately 80 nucleotides in length. Their secondary structure includes four short double-helical elements and three loops (D, anti-codon, and T loops). The record is from RNAcentral. Lineage: Bacteria; Pseudomonadati; Pseudomonadota; Gammaproteobacteria.